UACGUAGGUCCCGAGCGUUGUCCGGAUUUAUUGGGCGUAAAGCGAGCGCAGGUGGUUUAAUAAGUCUGAUGUAAAAGGCAGUGGCUCAACCAUUGUGUGCAUUGGAAACUGUUAGACUUGAGUGCAGUAGAGGAGAGUGGAAUUCCAUGUGUAGCGGUGAAAUGCGUAGAUAUCGGGAGGAACACCAGUGGCGAAGGCGGCUCUCUGGACUGUAACUGACACUGAGGCUCGAAAGCGUGGGUAGCAAACAGG
RNAcentral lists this ribosomal RNA (252 nucleotides) under uncultured microorganism. RNAcentral's name for it is "partial 16S ribosomal RNA". It matches the Rfam family "Bacterial small subunit ribosomal RNA", at positions 524 to 776 of the family's 1533-position model. The record is from RNAcentral.